Molecule: ribosomal RNA, 451 nt
Filed under: uncultured bacterium
Lineage: Bacteria
Description: partial 16S ribosomal RNA
Rfam family: Bacterial small subunit ribosomal RNA
Source: RNAcentral
GUGGGGAAUAUUGCGCAAUGGGGGAAACCCUGACGCAGCGACGCCGUGUGAGGGAAGAAGGCUUUCGGGUCGUAAACCUCUGUCAGAAAGGAAGAACCUCCCAAGUCCGAAUAGGGCUUGGGACUGACGGUACUUUCAAAGGAAGCACCGGCUAACUCCGUGCCAGCAGCCGCGGUAAUACGGAGGGUGCAAGCGUUAAUCGGAAUCACUGGGCGUAAAGCGCGCGUAGGCCGCUUUGUAAGUCGGACGUGAAAGCCCUCGGCGCAACCGGGGAACUGCGUUCGAUACUGCGAGGCUUGAGUCCUGGAGAGGGUGGCGGAAUUCCGGGUGUAGGAGUGAAAUCCGUAGAUAUCCGGAGGAACACCGGUGGCGAAGGCGGCCACCUGGACAGGUACUGACGCUGAGGCGCGAAAGCGUGGGGAGCAAACAGGAUUAGAAACCCGAGUAGUCC